RNAcentral lists this long non-coding RNA (4591 nucleotides) under Setaria viridis. RNAcentral describes it as "long non-coding RNA (SVIR_LNC003362)". Lineage: Eukaryota; Viridiplantae; Streptophyta; Magnoliopsida; Poales; Poaceae. The record is from RNAcentral.
AUCUUGUGAUCCAAUCCAACCAAAUAUCAUUCCACUGACCGGCUUCCUGCCUAUAAAUAGUGUUGCCUCCCCAGCCGUAUGGGCACUAGAAACCCCUUAAGCUGCUAGUCUCUUCUUCUCUGCUCUUCCUACCUUCCUCUAGCUAUAGCAACACCUUGCCCACAUUCCAUGUCUCCCACGGGUGCUUCCGCUCUCAAGGUUGCGGCUAUCGCCGUCUGCCUCGGGCUGGUUCUAUCGUCCAUGAGGCAGCCAGUGUUCGCGCAAACCCAGUCCCAGCAGCAAGCUUGCACCACAACUUGCGCCAGCGCGUGCAAUAUUGUGGCGAAGGCAGCCUGCCCCGGCUUCUGCGCAGGCAACCCAACUCCCACUAAUCCGCUAGCUUGCAACGCCUGCAACACGACGGCCAAUGCAGAUUGCAACAAUCAGUGCGCCCCAGCCUGCUUCCUCAACCCAGAUCCCAACGCUUAAUGUUCAUCAUCCAUGUUCGUGCUGUUGCUUAAGAGCUAAUGUUUACUGAAUAAUUAAGCAUGCCGACUGGACUGCAUGUAUGUUGUGUUGCUUUCUAUUCUAUUUCCCUUGCAAAUGAUGUAAAGCCGUCGGCCUACUGGCUGGCUGGACUCAUGUAGAAAAUCGCUCCAUGUGAUUGGUGUUCCUUGGGCUUUGUUGAAUUGAAAUCAUGUUGCUAUGUGUUUCAGUAUUAACUUAUCAGCAUCCAUCUCUGUCAAUCUCGAUCACCAUGUUGUGAAAAAGAAGAUUUCCCUCUGCAAAUCUGUGCACACCACAUAAUAUAUAUAUAUAUAUAUAUAUAUAUAUAUAUAUAUAUAUUGUUCAUCUUGUUCUAUUAUUUCAUCUUGUUCAGGUCAAUCCAGUAAACUGUACAGUUUGUUACUAUGUUCAAUCGUGUUAUGUGACUAUCAGAAUUAGAAAACAAGCUUCCGAUCAUAUGGAGACAAUUAAAUAUUCCAAGCGAUACAAGCUGCCACUGAUCCAACCCAGAAAUACCAUAUUAGGCUUGGUCAUAUAUAUGGCGAUCGAGGUAGAUGAAAAAACGACCCAAGAUUCGAUCAGUCAUAUAGAUGCAAGCUUGCUACUGCAAGCAUUAAUACGAAACAGACUGAAAACUUAUUUAACGGACACUUGAUCUUGUUUUCUUUUCUUUUCCUUUUUCCCUAUACUAUCCUUUAUUCUGUUCUUUAUUCUUCUUCUAAUACCUCUCUAAGUAUUUUUGUCAUGUAUGUAAUCAAUAUCUUUUAAUAAGUAGCAUUCAUCAUUGUUCUUUUAAACGAGUACAUGAUGUUUGUUUUUUCAAUCCUUUUUUAAUACUCUAUUUCAUUUGGUUUUUCCCACGUUACCUAUCCAAUAUUUCUACUUUUUUCUUUUAUUUGGUAUUUCAUAAUUUCUUGACUUAUCCGCUUAUUUCACUUAUUUAUUUAUCUAUUUAUUUACUUAAUUUUAUUCUUGCCUUACUUUAUAUAUUGAAUGUAUCCCUUUAUUUUUUUAAUGUAUUGUAAUAUUUAAGUUGUUCUAUGUUUAAAAUUUUUCCAGCUGCACAAUUCUACAAUUUUGUUCAAAGUGUAUAAUUUUUUAUUCCAUAAUUUCAUCUAAUUUAAUUAAUUCCUUCUCUACAAAUCUUUGUUUCUUGAGUUCACUAUUUUGUUCCAGGUGUAUAAAUGUAUGUUCUGUGUAUAAAUGUACAUUCUGUAAGUCCAUAUAAUUUGUUUCAAUAUACAAAUCUAUGUUUUAUGAGUUCACAUAUCUGUGUAUAAAUGUACAUUUUGUGAGUCCGUAUAAUUUGUUUCGAUAUACAAAUCUAUGUUUUAUGAGUUCACGUAAAUUGUUCCAUAUGUAUAAAUCUUUAUUCUUCAUAUAAUUCGUUCUUGGAGUACAUACCCUAGUUUUGUGAUAUAUGAAAGAAAAUGGAAUGUUACGGAUCAUCACAGUAUACAAACCGAGAGUACGUCUGAAGCUAAGUCCGCAUGAUCGGUAGAAAUCCUUGAAUGAGGUGUGAUCCCCGAUUCUGUAAAUUUUAGCUUACGGCAUUCAUGAGAAGGUCAGAAGUGCUGCAGUCCUAGUUUGGACUUCUGGAUGGAAGCUUCCAUUAUUAUGAUGCUUCUUUCCAAGCAAAUAUUGAUACUUAUCUAGAUCUAAAAAAAAAGAUACUAAUCUAUGGUUUUCACAAGUUGACUGCACACUUUUCACAAGGUUUUUGAAUUUGACCGUUGGCAAAUUUGGUUUGUUUCUAAUCUUCUCCCUAAUUUCUUUUGAUUUGCACUCUUAAACACUAGGAUGUCACAGUGUCGCUCGGUUGCGCACUUCGUUGCAUUAUACGACUACUUCAUCGACGUCGAUCGGAUCGACCACUCACGCUUCAUUAAGACUUCCGCUGCGAUGCGAGACGAGCAAAGGUAUAAUCUAUGAUCAUCUUCUCGCAAGUGAUCUUGUUUACGCAGUUAUAUUUUUGUGUGCUAGCGAGUAGCAUACUAAGUUUUCUAACAGAUACUACCUCAUGAAAGCCGUCCAUUUGAGGCCAAAAGGAUUCGAAAUGGAACCUUCCUUUCCCCAGCAAUAAGUCAUUCAGCCCCAAAAUGAGUACUCCAAUUGGCAUCGGUAGAGCCUAUGUACUCCAAUUCAGAAGUCAAGCAGUCACUACCUGCUCCAUUCUGUUCUCUCGGAUUAGUUACUGCAAUGCAAAAGGAUUCAGCAAAGCGAGACUUGACUUUUUCUUUACUAAUGCACCUUCUAAUUUUGCCAGAAAAAAUUAACGACAGAAGCAAUGGGGAUGUGGCUGAUGACCAAUACCAUUGUUACAAGGUAGGGAUUUUGUUACUCUAGUUCGCUGUGAUACCUUUGAAGAAAUUUUGAGCUAGCACUGCCGUAAGUUAUACAUGUGCUUGCGGUUCUUCUAAAUAUCCAACGAAAUUAAUGAAUAAAUUUGUGGUCAUUAUUACUGAAUCAAAGGGACUGGCCAAAAACUGCAGGAAGAUGUGAACAUCAUGAAGGAUAUUGGAAUGGAUGCGUACAGGUUCUCCAUCUCAUGGACAAGUAUUCUUCCAAGUACUUGAAAUAUCUUCAGAAUGGAUACAAUUGCAACGUCCUCAAAGCCGUGUUCUCUUUUCUGUAUUAUCAAGUAGAAAAUUUUCAUUCUUGAUUCAUGGUUAACAAUAUGAAUGGUCAUUCUACCAAAAUUCGCAGAAUUUUCUUAUUAUAAGCCAACAUACUCCCUCUUUGUUUUUAAAUAUCUGAUGUUAAAGACAUGCUAGAUAGUUCAUAACAUCAUAUAUUUAAGUCUGAUUGGAUGACAGAUGCAAGUUUGAGUGGUGGAGUUAACAGGGAAGGAGUCAAUUAUUACAACAAUUUGAUUAAUGAGCUCUUGUCCAAAGGUAGGUAUUUCAAAUCUUCAGUAUAAUAUAUAUUGAUUCUUUUGCUUUGCAAUAGUUUCAAAGUUGAAUGGAGCACUACAUGUUCAUUGUUAUUCAAGGGGCAUUAUUAUCCACUAGAGAAAUAUUUAUUUGUUUGCAGGUUUGCAGCCAUUUGUGACUAUUUCCACUGGGACUCAUCUCAGGCAUUAGAAGACAAAUACAAAGGGUUUCUUAGUCCUAAUAUAGUGUAAGUCAACUACAUUCAGUUUAGUCCUAAUUUUUUCCUCAAAACUGACGUUAUAAUAACGUGCAUUACUAUACUACUCUGUGAACUAAACGGACUAACAAACAGUAGUCGAGUAUGACAUGACAAUUUCUAUUUUGACUCUGAUGGAGUUGACGAUGUGGGGCAGUAAAUAAAAUAGGUCUAGUACUGGUACGACGCCUUAUUUAUUUGGACCAAACGUCUUAGUUUCUUUCUUUUUUGCAUGCAUCUCUCUCUAUAUAUUCUGUACAUGUUACAUGAAGAAAUAAUCUUGUGAUCCAAUCUGACCAAAUAUCAUUCCACUGACCGGCUUCCUACCUAUAAAUAGUGUUGCCUCCCCAGCCGUAUAGGCACCACAAACCCCUUAAGCUGCUAGUCUCGUCUUCUCUGCUCUUCCUACCUUCCUCUAGCUAUAGCAACACCUUGCCCACAUUCGAUGUCUCCCACGGGUGCUUCCGCUCUCAAGGUUGCGGCUAUCGCCGUCUGCCUCGGGCUGGUUCUGUUGUCCAUGAGGCAGCCAGUGUUCGCGCAAACCCAGUCCCAGCAGCAAGCUUGCACCACAACUUGCGCCAGCGCGUGCAAUAUUGUGGCGAAGGCAGCCUGCCCCGGCUUCUGCGCAGGCAACCCAACUCCCACUAAUCCGCUAGCUUGCAACGCCUGCAACACGACGGCCAAUGCAGAUUGCAACAAUCAGUGCGCCCCCGCCUGCUUCCUCAACCCAGAUCCCAACGCUUAAUGUUUAUCAUCCAUGUCCGUGCUGUUGCUUAAGAGCUAAUGUUUACUGAAUAAUUAAGCAUGCCGACUGGGCUGCAUGUAUGUUGUGUUGCUUUCUGUUCUAUUUCCCUUGCAAAUGAUGUAAAGCCGUCGGCGUACUGGCUGGCUGGCUCAUGUAGAAAAUCGCUUUAUGUGAUUGGUGUUCCUGGGCUUUGAUGAAUUGAAAUCAUAUUGCUAUGUGUUUCAGUAUUAA